GCCUGGAUAGCUCAGUUGGUUAGAACAUGGUGCCGAUAAUGCCAAGGUUAAAAGUUUGAUCCCUGUUUGGGACA
Molecule: transfer RNA, 74 nt
Filed under: Podarcis lilfordi (Lilford's wall lizard)
Lineage: Eukaryota; Metazoa; Chordata; Lepidosauria; Squamata; Lacertidae
Description: tRNA.Ile
Source: RNAcentral